Molecule: ribosomal RNA, 160 nt
Filed under: uncultured eukaryote
Lineage: Eukaryota
Description: partial small subunit ribosomal RNA
Source: RNAcentral
AUGGAGUGCUGGAUCCCGAACGCACGAUUCAGAUUGGCAUUCGCGGGAACUCGGAGUUCCUUUGGGAGUUCUCAUAUGAUGCCGGCAUGACCGUGGUGCAUAUUGAGGAAUUCCAGCGGAUGGGUGUCGAUGCGGUCAUCGAAAAGGCGCGUACAGUGGU